RNAcentral lists this ribosomal RNA (497 nucleotides) under uncultured bacterium. Its description in RNAcentral is "partial 16S ribosomal RNA". It matches the Rfam family "Bacterial small subunit ribosomal RNA", at positions 28 to 507 of the family's 1533-position model. The record is from RNAcentral.
GAUGAACGCUGGCGGCGUGCCUAAUACAUGCAAGUCGAGCGAACGGACGAGAAGCUUGCUUUUCUGAUGUUAGCGGCGGACGGGUGAGUAACACGUGGAUAACCUACCUAUAAGACUGGGAUAACUUCGGGAAACCGGAGCUAAUACCGGAUAAUAUUUUGAACCGCAUGGUUCGAAAGUGAAAGACGGUCUUGCUGUCACUUAUAGAUGGAUCCGCGCUGCAUUAGCUAGUUGGUAAGGUAACGGCUUACCAAGGCAACGAUGCAUAGCCGACCUGAGAGGGUGAUCGGCCACACUGGAACUGAGACACGGUCCAGACUCCUACGGGAGGCAGCAGUAGGGAAUCUUCCGCAAUGGGCGAAAGCCUGACGGAGCAACGCCGCGUGAGUGAUGAAGGUCUUCGGAUCGUAAAACUCUGUUAUUAGGGAAGAACAUAUGUGUAAGUAACUGUGCACAUCUUGACGGUACCUAAUCAGAAAGCCACGGCUAACUACGUG